Molecule: transfer RNA, 72 nt
Filed under: Nanobdellota archaeon
Lineage: Archaea; Nanobdellati; Nanobdellota
Description: tRNA-Asp
Rfam family: tRNA
About the family: Transfer RNA (tRNA) molecules are approximately 80 nucleotides in length.
Source: RNAcentral
GCCUCUGUGGUCUAACGGCUAUGACUUGGCCCUGUCGCGGCCACGACCCGGGUUCAACUCCCGGCAGAGGCG